This 274-nucleotide ribosomal RNA is filed under the name Listeria ivanovii. Its description in RNAcentral is "partial 23S ribosomal RNA". It matches the Rfam family "Bacterial large subunit ribosomal RNA", at positions 2171 to 2444 of the family's 2925-position model. The record is from RNAcentral. Lineage: Bacteria; Bacillati; Bacillota; Bacilli; Caryophanales; Listeriaceae. RNAcentral also lists the same sequence under 1 other name.
CUAGCAUACGAGGAGGCAAUGGUGGGAUACUACCCUGGCUGUAUGACCAUUCUAACCCGCCACGCUUAGCGCGUGGGGAGACAGUGUCAGGUGGGCAGUUUGACUGGGGCGGUCGCCUCCUAAAGAGUAACGGAGGCGCCCAAAGGUUCCCUCAGAAUGGAUGGAAAUCAUUCGCAGAGUGUAAAGGCACAAGGGAGCUUGACUGCGAGACUGACAAGUCGAGCAGGGACGAAAGUCGGGCUUAGUGAUCCGGUGGUUCCGCAUGGAAGGGCCA